RNAcentral lists this ribosomal RNA (620 nucleotides) under uncultured Streptomyces sp. Its description in RNAcentral is "bacterial SSU rRNA". It matches the Rfam family "Bacterial small subunit ribosomal RNA", at positions 430 to 1061 of the family's 1533-position model. The record is from RNAcentral. Lineage: Bacteria; Bacillati; Actinomycetota; Actinomycetes; Kitasatosporales; Streptomycetaceae.
CCUCUUUCAGCAGGGAAGAAGCGAAAGUGACGGUACCUGCAGAAGAAGCGCCGGCUAACUACGUGCCAGCAGCCGCGGUAAUACGUAGGGCGCGAGCGUUGUCCGGAAUUAUUGGGCGUAAAGAGCUCGUAGGCGGCUUGUCGCGUCGGUUGUGAAAGCCCGGGGCUUAACCCCGGGUCUGCAGUCGAUACGGGCAGGCUAGAGUUCGGUAGGGGAGAUCGGAAUUCCUGGUGUAGCGGUGAAAUGCGCAGAUAUCAGGAGGAACACCGGUGGCGAAGGCGGAUCUCUGGGCCGAUACUGACGCUGAGGAGCGAAAGCGUGGGGAGCGAACAGGAUUAGAUACCCUGGUAGUCCACGCCGUAAACGGUGGGCACUAGGUGUGGGCGACAUUCCACGUCGUCCGUGCCGCAGCUAACGCAUUAAGUGCCCCGCCUGGGGAGUACGGCCGCAAGGCUAAAACUCAAAGGAAUUGACGGGGGCCCGCACAAGCGGCGGAGCAUGUGGCUUAAUUCGACGCAACGCGAAGAACCUUACCAAGGCUUGACAUACACCGGAAAGCAUCAGAGAUGGUGCCCCCCCUUGUGGUCGGUGUACAGGUGGUGCAUGGCUGUCGUCAGCUC